This 458-nucleotide long non-coding RNA is filed under the name Musa acuminata (dwarf banana). RNAcentral's name for it is "long non-coding RNA (MACU_LNC005154)". The record is from RNAcentral. Lineage: Eukaryota; Viridiplantae; Streptophyta; Magnoliopsida; Zingiberales; Musaceae.
GCCUGCUUCUGCCCUCGUUAGGAGCCUGAAGCCGACUUGGCCUAGGUCGACGUAGUCGGUGAGAGAACCAAGGAGAUCCUGGAAGCGGCACUUCGCUUGCGGUUGUCUUUCUUCAGCUUCUCCUUCUCGUUUGCUAGUUCCGGUAGCUGGUUCGAGGCUGUGCACCGCCGCGGAACUGGGCAUGGAAGAAUGCGAAAGCUGGGUGUUUGGCGUGCGCUCAACUUGCCGUCCGAAGUGAGACGAGAUGUUAGAGUCGGCGGCUUCCCCCGGCAGAUCUUGCAAAGGACCUGCUUCUCCCCUCGCCGGACGUUUCCGUUAGUGACCUCCUACCAGUCGGGCACUACCUCGUGGAAGUCCUGCAAGCAAAUCAAAACUUCAUCAUGCAUACCAGAAGGCCAAAAAUUCUCAAAAUGAGCCAAUAUCUCUACAAAUAUAUAUAUUUGGGUUAUUUAUGGCUU